RNAcentral lists this ribosomal RNA (323 nucleotides) under uncultured eukaryote. RNAcentral's name for it is "partial 18S ribosomal RNA". It matches the Rfam family "Eukaryotic small subunit ribosomal RNA", at positions 1470 to 1796 of the family's 1831-position model. The record is from RNAcentral.
CCCUUAGAUGUUCUGGGCCGCACGCGCGCUACACUGAUGCAUGCAACGAGUUCUAUCCUUGGCCGGAAGGCCUGGGUAAUCUGUGAACGUGCAUCGUGAUAGGGAUAGAUUAUUGCAAUUAUUAAUCUUGAACGAGGAAUUCCUAGUAAACGCAAGUCAUCAGCUUGCAUUGAUUACGUCCCUGCCCUUUGUACACACCGCCCGUCGCACCUACCGAUCGAAGGUAAUGAUGAGCCCUCAGGAUUAUGGCCUCGUCGCGUCAGCGUCUUGGCUGCGAGAAUCUGUGCAAAUCCCUACCUUUAGAGGAAGGUGAAGUCGUAACA